AACGAACGCUGGCGGCAUGCUUAACACAUGCAAGUCGAACGUGAUCCGGGGUUUCGGCCCUGGUGAAAGUGGCGGACGGGUGAGUAACGCGUGGGAACCUGCCUGGUGGUAGGGGAUAACCGCGGGAAACUGCGGCUAAUACCCUAUGAGUCCCUGGACUUGCUCCGGGGGGAAAGAUUUAUCGCCAUCGGAGGGGCCCGCGUCGGAUUAGGUGGUUGGUGGGGUAAAGGCCUACCAAGCCUGCGAUCCGUAGCUGGUCUGAGAGGAUGAUCAGCCACACUGGGACUGAGAUACGGCCCAGACUCCUACGGGAGGCAGCAGUGGGGAAUAUUGGACAAUGGGCGCAAGCCUGAUCCAGCAAUGCCGCGUGAGUGAAGAAGGCCUUAGGGUUGUAAAGCUCUUUCGGCGGGGACGGAUGAUGACGGUACCCGCAGAAGAAGCCCCGGCUAACUCCGUGCCAGCAGCCGCGGUAAUACGGAGGGGGCUAGCGUUGUUCGGAAUUACUGGGCGUAAAGGGCGCGUAGGCC
RNAcentral lists this ribosomal RNA (527 nucleotides) under uncultured bacterium. RNAcentral describes it as "bacterial SSU rRNA". It matches the Rfam family "Bacterial small subunit ribosomal RNA", at positions 28 to 577 of the family's 1533-position model. The record is from RNAcentral.